GAUGAACGCUGGCGGCGUGCCUAAUACAUGCAAGUCGAGCGAACAGAUGAGGAGCUUGCUCCUCUGACGUUAGCGGCGGACGGGUGAGUAACACGUGGAUAACCUACCUAUAAGACUGGGAUAACUUCGGGAAACCGGAGCUAAUACCGGAUAAUAUAUUGAACCGCAUGGUUCAAUAGUGAAAGACGGUUUUGCUGUCACUUAUAGAUGGAUCCGCGCCGCAUUAGCUAGUUGGUAGGUAACGGCUUACCAAGGCAACGAUGCGUAGCCGACCUGAGAGGGUGAUCGGCCACACUGGAGCUGAGACACGGUCCAGACUCCUACGGGAGGCAGCAGUAGGGAAUCUUCCGCAAUGGGCGAAAGCCUGACGGAGCAACGCCGCGUGAGUGAUGAAGGUCUUCGGAUCGUAAAACUCUGUUAUUAGGGAAGAACAAAUGUGUAAGUAACUAUGCACGUCUUGACGGUACCUAAUCAGAAAGCCACGGCUAACUACGUG
Molecule: ribosomal RNA, 496 nt
Filed under: uncultured bacterium
Lineage: Bacteria
Description: partial 16S ribosomal RNA
Rfam family: Bacterial small subunit ribosomal RNA
Source: RNAcentral